Long non-coding RNA from Oryzias melastigma (Indian medaka), 568 nucleotides. RefSeq lists it as uncharacterized. The transcript has 2 exons. The record is from RefSeq and is a predicted model, not a curated record. NCBI's taxonomy places the organism in Eukaryota, Metazoa, Chordata, Actinopteri, Beloniformes, Adrianichthyidae.
GGGCUGGGGGGGUCACGGUUGGUUUUGUUGUAGGAAAUGAGGGAUGCUUCACCUCAACAAUGACCUAAAAACAUCUAAAACCAAAAAUGAGGAGUGAUGUGCUGAGCUUCAGUCAGACCUGAUCUAAACCAGGAUGCAGGUGGAACUAUAGAAGUUCUUCUGUACAGCAGAACCCCCGCAGAGGUCUCCUGUGUGACCCUCCGUCUGUCCUGCAGGACGUCAGUGGCUCUGCCGCUCUGACACCACGUCCUGCAGACGCUUCAGCAGCACGUCCGGGCUACCGCCGUUCUCUGGACACGCCCUCUUACUUGGCGAGUCACAUGCGGACGCCAUGGUCACGUCCCCCUCCAUGGUGAAGGCCCUCUUCCUGCUGGCAGAGCCCUGUCGGAUCAUCCGGUUGAUGUCGGACAGAUCCUGCAGAAGAAAAGACUGUCUUAAUUCAUCCUCAGGUGUUUGGAGUUCUGUGUUUCUGUCGCUGAUUGAGCCCGGACUUCCUGACUGAUCCAUGAACCCGGAGGAGGAGGAGCUUCUCAGUGUGCAAAUAUAAAACUCUGUUAAUCAUCUGAAA